RNAcentral lists this ribosomal RNA (253 nucleotides) under uncultured bacterium. Its description in RNAcentral is "partial 16S ribosomal RNA". It matches the Rfam family "Bacterial small subunit ribosomal RNA", at positions 524 to 776 of the family's 1533-position model. The record is from RNAcentral.
CACGGGGGGAGCAAGCGUUGUUCGGAAUCACUGGGCGUAAAGGGCGUGUAGGCGGUCAGGUAAGUGGGAUGUGAAAUGCCUCGGCUCACCCGAGGCACUGCAUUCCAAACUGCUUGGCUUGAGUAUGGGAGAGGAUGAGGGAAUUCCUGGUGUAGCGGUGAAAUGCGUAGAUAUCAGGAGGAACACCGGUGGCGAAGGCGGGUCUCUGGGCCGAAAUUGACGCUGAGGAGCGAAAGCGUGGGGAGCAAACAGG